GUGCUAGGCCGUUUGUCCGUGCCCAUCGUCGUCUUCCCAUUCGUUCUGAACAUCUUGCCCCGAAGUUUCCUCCCGCGGCGGCGCGGUGCUGAGGAGAGUGCUACCGCCGUCUGCGGCUAGGGUUCAAGCCGACAGAUUGGGGAAGAGACACGCUUAUCCUGCACCUGCGUCAUGGAGAGAACACAGGUAAAGUUCUCCACUCAAAUGCUGUGAAGUCACCUUUGCAAAGGGAAAAAAAUACCGUGAGGGUCAGCAGUAACUUAUAUGAGGAAACAAAGGAAGAGAGCAAUUGAACAAAAAUAAGACUACAGCGGAAAAUGUUUCCUUUUCAGAUAAUCCAUUUGGUGGACCUUCCGUCUCCCAAACAGGACCAGGCCACGCAUAAUUCUGAACACCAAAAAGAUGGCAAAAGGAUAAUAUUGUUUGUUGCGUCUUACAUGAAUCAUAAUUGAGCAAGCAAAUUUAGAAAAUAAGAGGGAAAACAAUCUACAUGACGGUUUUCAAUAGCCUCUCCUACAUUUUUCCCUUUUGUUUUAUACCUUUAUUUCCUGUAUUUUUAUCUUUGACUAUUGUAAUGUUGAUCUUCACUUUCUUUUCUUUCACUUGUAUUGCAUAUCUUGAAGCCUUUUGCUCUUUUCAUAUGUUCCUUGGACAUGAGAUCAUGGAUAUUAUAAAGGACACGAGCGUAUGCUCACUUGGCCUGGAAACAAAACUAUAAUUACAAAAUUCCAAAGAGAAAUACAAGCUUGUAUGUUUUUA
Molecule: long non-coding RNA, 759 nt
Organism: Lolium perenne
Lineage: Eukaryota; Viridiplantae; Streptophyta; Magnoliopsida; Poales; Poaceae
Source: RefSeq, a predicted model, not a curated record